This 26-nucleotide ribosomal RNA is filed under the name Xylella fastidiosa. RNAcentral's name for it is "partial 23S ribosomal RNA". The record is from RNAcentral. Lineage: Bacteria; Pseudomonadati; Pseudomonadota; Gammaproteobacteria; Lysobacterales; Lysobacteraceae.
GGGUUAUAUGGUCAAGCGAAUAAGCG